This 218-nucleotide non-coding RNA is filed under the name Rhizobiales bacterium GAS191. Lineage: Bacteria; Pseudomonadati; Pseudomonadota; Alphaproteobacteria; Hyphomicrobiales. The record is from RNAcentral. RNAcentral also lists the same sequence under 1 other name.
CAAGUCCGGUCCAGGUCAGGAGUAGCGUCUGCCUGGUAGCGAGUGUUGCGGCGCGGAAGGCAACGACCGCGGCGAAGCAUACAACAGUGAUUGCAUGGAGUGUGGGAUUGAGCCACGAAAUGGGAUCGAUGCAGGUGGAGACGGUGUUGGAUGAUCCGAAGACUCGCAAUUGCAGCGGCAUUGGCCGGCGUUGUCGGCCUUGGCGUAUUCUGGGUCCU